CCCUUAGAUGUCCUGGGCCGCACGCGCGCUACACUGAUGCAUGCAACGAGUUUAUAACCUUGGCCUGAAAGGUCUGGGUAAUCUUUUGAACGUGCAUCGUGAUAGGGAUAGAUUAUUGCAAUUGUUAAUCUUGAACGAGGAAUUCCUAGUAAACGCAGAUCAUCAAUCUGCAUUGAUUACGUCCCUGCCCUUUGUACACACCGCCCGUCGCACCUACCGAUUGGAUGGUCCGGUGAAGCCUCGGGAUUGUGGUUCUUGCCGCUUUAUUGUGGCGUGACCGCGAGAACUUGUCUAAACCUUAUCAUCUAGAGGAAGGUGAAGUCGUAACA
This 329-nucleotide ribosomal RNA is filed under the name uncultured eukaryote. Its description in RNAcentral is "partial 18S ribosomal RNA". It matches the Rfam family "Eukaryotic small subunit ribosomal RNA", at positions 1470 to 1796 of the family's 1831-position model. The record is from RNAcentral.